AUUGAACGCUGGCGGCAGGCUAAACACAUGCAAGUCGAGCGGGGUGAUGGUGCUUGCACUAUCACUUAGCGGCGGACGGGUGAGUAAUGCUUAGGAAUCUGCCUAUUAGUGGGGGACAACAUCUCGAAAGGGAUGCUAAUACCGCAUACGUCCUACGGGAGAAAGCAGGGGAUCACUUGUGACCUUGCGCUAAUAGAUGAGCCUAAGUCGGAUUAGCUAGUUGGUGGGGUAAGGCCUACCAAGGCGACGAUCUGUAGCGGGUCUGAGGGGAUGAUCCGCCACACUGGGACUGAGACACGGCCCAGACUCCUACGGGAGGCAGCAGUGGGGAAUAUUGGACAAUGGGGGGAACCCUGAUCCAGCCAUGCCGCGUGUGUGAAGAAGGCCUUAUGGUUGUAAAGCACUUUAAGCGAGGAGGAGGCUCUUUUGGUUAAUACCCAAGAUGAGUGGACGUUACUCGCAGAAUAAGCACCGGCUAACUCUGUGCCAGCCGCCACCGUAA
Molecule: ribosomal RNA, 502 nt
Filed under: uncultured bacterium
Lineage: Bacteria
Description: partial 16S ribosomal RNA
Rfam family: Bacterial small subunit ribosomal RNA
Source: RNAcentral